UUUUCGUGAUUUCUUUUUUGAUCACAAUUUUCUUCGGACCUCUUUUAUUCGUCUCGUUCGUCGCUGUUGAACGCUGCCGCGUCGAAGGUUCGUCGUCGUCGAAGACUCGCUUUUGAUGAAGACUUGUUGUCGUCGAAGACUUGCUGUCGUCGAAGGAUCCUAUAGAAAGUUUGCCAGACUCUGCCGUCGCCGACUGUUGAAGGCUCUACCAGCAUUGUCGAAGGUUCUGAGAACACUUCUCGCUGGAAAGAGAAGCAAAUCUGCAACCCAAAGGUACGAAUGUUCUUCCUUUCCCUUUCAAAAGAGAUAAAUAAAAUGGAGUCUUAGAAUAAGGUCGUACCAGUUUAUUCUUUAGAAGGUAAGUUUACAAGGCCGCUAUGAACUUUUGGUGUGAACCCUAGUCGAUGUUAAUUCCAUAAUGCAUUAAUUGUUCGAUGUGAUUUUCAACAUUUUUUUACCUUGGCAUAUUUGUGUCUUGUUUAGCUUUUGACAGAUGGAAUCCAUGCUCUCCCAGUAUUUUUUUUUUGUUGAUUCUUACCAUUUGAUUAUUGAUAUUGACUUCUAAAGUCCUUUCGUGUUGAAAUGAUUUGCGAAAUAACUUCAUUUUACAAAGAAUGCAUGGUUCUUCACAAACAUCUUCUUACUUGUAUUUAGCUUGAUUGCUAGGUGUUGUUUAGGGCUAGAAUUGACUGAAGAAAAGUUUCUGAGCAUAUGAUUGUAUUGGUUUUCUAUACAAGGAAUAUAUCUUUGGAUUUCCUGAAGCAAAGACCAUAAUUCAGUGGCUUGCAGCUUCUCAGGUAAUUUUAUAUUUUUAGCCAUCAUUGUAUCAGGUAAUUUUAUAUCUUUGGGUUCUUGACCCAACAAUGUUCUGGUAUGGAUACUCUUAUUUCAGCAAUCUUGAAUGGUGGAGGAGCACUGGGGUCUUAUAUAACUAGGCAUACACCAGUUAUAUUCUCUCCAUUCUCAACAUUUUAAUUUUGAUUAAUUUGGGUUGUAUGACACAAUUGUCUAUUUUUUAUCAAAUUUGUACGGUUGUUGUUUCUUCUAUGUAUAAUUAUUUUAUCCAAUGUGGCUUUAGUAAUACCUUAUUGUCUAUUAUUCAUCAAAUUUGUCCUGUUGUUGUUUCUUCUAUGUAUGAUUGUUUUAUCCAAUGUGGCUUUAGUAAUACUCC
Molecule: long non-coding RNA, 1171 nt
Filed under: Vigna radiata
Lineage: Eukaryota; Viridiplantae; Streptophyta; Magnoliopsida; Fabales; Fabaceae
Description: long non-coding RNA (VRAD_LNC012637)
Source: RNAcentral